This 433-nucleotide ribosomal RNA is filed under the name uncultured bacterium. RNAcentral's name for it is "partial 16S ribosomal RNA". It matches the Rfam family "Bacterial small subunit ribosomal RNA", at positions 29 to 507 of the family's 1533-position model. The record is from RNAcentral.
AACGAACGCUGGCGGCAUGCCUAACACAUGCAAGUCGAACGAGACCUUCGGGUCUAGCGGCGCACGGGUGCGUAACGCGUGGGAACCUGCCCUUAGGUUCGGAAUAACUCCCCGAAAGGGGUGCUAAUACCGGAUAAUGUCUUCGGACCAAAGAUUUAUCGCCUUUGGAUGGGCCCGCGUUGGAUUAGCUAGUUGGUAGGGUAAAAGCCUACCAAGGCGACGAUCCAUAGCUGGUGUGAGAGGAUGAUCAGCCACACUGGGACUGAGACACGGCCCAGACUCCUACGGGAGGCAGCAGUGGGGAAUAUUGGACAAUGGGCGAAGGCAUGAUCCAGCAAUGCCGGGUGAGUGAUGAAGGCCUUAGGGUUGUAAAGCUCUUUUACCCGGGAUGAUAAUGACAGUACCGGGAGAAUAAGCUCCGGCUAACUCCGUG